CCUACGGGGGGCUGCAGUCGAGAAUCAUUCACAAUGGGGGAAACCCUGAUGGGGCGACGCCGCGUGGGGGAAUGAAGGUCUCCGGAUUGUAAACCCCUGUCAUGUGGGAGCAAAUUAAAAAGAUAGUACCACAAGAGGAAGAGACGGCUCACUCUGUGCCAGCAGCCGCGGUAAUACAGAGGGCUCAAGCGUUGUUCGGAAUCACUGGGCGUAAAGCGGGCGUAGGCGGUUUCGUAAGUCGAGUGUGAAAGGCGCGGGCUCAACCCGCGGACUGCACGUGAUACUGCGAGCCUAGAGUAAUGGAGAGGGAACUGGAAUUCUCGGUGUAGCAGUGAAAUGCGUAGAUAUCGGGAGGAACACUCGUGGCGAAGGCGGCUUCCUGGACAUUAACUGACGCUGAGGCACGAAGGCCAGGGGAGCGAAAGGGAUUAGAUACCCCGGUAGUC
Molecule: ribosomal RNA, 446 nt
Filed under: uncultured bacterium
Lineage: Bacteria
Description: partial 16S ribosomal RNA
Rfam family: Bacterial small subunit ribosomal RNA
Source: RNAcentral